AUGAACGCUGGCGGCGUGCUUAACACCUGCAAGUCGCACGGUGAAGGCGGAGCUUGCUCUGCUGGAUCAGUGGCGAACGGGUGAGUAACACGUGAGCAAUCUGCCCCUGACUCUGGGAUAAGCGCUGGAAACGGCGUCUAAUACUGGAUACGAGCUGCGAAGGCAUCUUCAGCAGCUGGAAAGAACUUCGGUCAGGGAUGAGCUCGCGGCCUAUCAGCUUGUUGGUGAGGUAACGGCUCACCAAGGCGUCGACGGGUAGCCGGCCUGAGAGGGUGACCGGCCACACUGGGACUGAGACACGGCCCAGACUCCUACGGGAGGCAGCAGUGGGGAAUAUUGCACAAUGGGCGAAAGCCUGAUGCAGCAACGCCGCGUGAGGGACGACGGCCUUCGGGUUGUAAACCUCUUUUAGCAGGGAAGAAGCGAAAGUGACGGUACCUGCAGAAAAAGCGCCGGCUAACUACGUG
This 467-nucleotide ribosomal RNA is filed under the name uncultured bacterium. RNAcentral's name for it is "partial 16S ribosomal RNA". It matches the Rfam family "Bacterial small subunit ribosomal RNA", at positions 29 to 507 of the family's 1533-position model. The record is from RNAcentral.